UACAGAGGGUGCGAGCGUUGUUCGGAAUCACUGGGCGUAAAGCGCGCGCAGGCGGGCGUGUAAGUCAGAAGUGAAAUUCCGGGGCUCAACCCCGGAGCUGCUCCUGAUACUGCAGGUCUGGAGACCGGUAGAGGCUGGUGGAAUUCCCGGUGUAGCGGUGGAAUGCGUAGAGAUCGGGAAGAACACCCGUGGCGAAGGCGGCCAGCUGGGCCGGUUCUGACGCUGAGGCGCGAAAGCGUGGGGAGCGAACCGG
Molecule: ribosomal RNA, 253 nt
Filed under: uncultured bacterium
Lineage: Bacteria
Description: partial 16S ribosomal RNA
Rfam family: Bacterial small subunit ribosomal RNA
Source: RNAcentral